Molecule: long non-coding RNA, 105 nt
Organism: Octopus sinensis (East Asian common octopus)
Lineage: Eukaryota; Metazoa; Mollusca; Cephalopoda; Octopoda; Octopodidae
Exons: 3
Source: RefSeq, a predicted model, not a curated record
UGUUGAAACUGAUCAGAUCCAACCUCUCACACCUACCCUACAAUGUUAUUCUAAAAAUAAGCAAUCACAUUGUCAUUAUCUCAAGGCUAUGAGAUAAGCAUUACA